Molecule: ribosomal RNA, 301 nt
Filed under: uncultured bacterium
Lineage: Bacteria
Description: partial 16S ribosomal RNA
Rfam family: Bacterial small subunit ribosomal RNA
Source: RNAcentral
CAGUCGCCACGGGAAUACGUAGGUGGCAAGCGUUGUCCGGAAUUAUUGGGCGUAAAGGGCUCGCAGGCGGUUUCUUAAGUCUGAUGUGAAAGCCCCCGGCUCAACCGGGGAGGGUCAUUGGAAACCGGGAAACUUGAGUGCAGAAGAGGAGAGUGGAAUUCCACGUGUAGCGGUGAAAUGCGUAGAGAUGUGGAGGAACACCAGUGGCGAAGGCGACUCUCUGGUCUGUAACUGACGCUGAGGAGCGAAAGCGUGGGGAGCGAACAGGAUUAGAUACCCCCGUAGUCCCUGUCUCUUAUAC